This is a small nucleolar RNA of Tachyglossus aculeatus (Australian echidna), 138 nucleotides long. Lineage: Eukaryota; Metazoa; Chordata; Mammalia; Monotremata; Tachyglossidae. The record is from RefSeq and is a predicted model, not a curated record.
CCUCUCUCAGGGUCGCACCUGGAGAGUUUCUGGUACUCUACCAGUCUCAGCUACAGGAGGAAGAGUCAAGCAGAGGCCUAUCCAUUCCAUUCCUAGCUUGGGCGGUAGCUAGCGAGUGAAAGGCAAUCUGCUACAAGU